This 200-nucleotide unclassified non-coding RNA is filed under the name soil metagenome. Its description in RNAcentral is "partial contains internal transcribed spacer 2 and large subunit ribosomal RNA". The record is from RNAcentral.
AGCGUCAUAACACCCCUCAAGCCCAGCUUGGUAUUGGGUCCUCGUCUCCCCCGGGGACGUGCCCGAAAGUCAGCGGCAAUGCGGCCGGUCCUCGAGCGUAGUAACUAUUCCGCUCUGAUGGCCCGGACGGAUCAGCCGGACAACCACCCCAUCUUUCAAUGGUUGACCUCGGAUCAGGUAGGGAUACCCGCUGAACUUAA